CAUUUCUAUUUAAGCCUCGGGAAGUUUUGUUUCUUUUACAUAAAACUGAUUUUAGGGUUUUUGCUAAUUGUGGUGGUCGCCGAUGACUGGGUGGAGUCCGGUGACGGCGGAGAGUCGCCGGCGACAGUGGCGACAGGGCAGUGGUGGUGGCUGUGCUAACAGGCCACUCCAUCUCAGAUACGUUCGGUUCAGUCAAGUCCGGCUUAGAUUCAGGCGAAUAAAAAUGGUUUUUAUUAUCGUGGAACGUUUGUGCUUUUCGUUUGAGAUUAGGGCUCCAACAAGUAUGCUUUAGUAAAUUAAGGCUCCAAUUUCAGAGUUCUUCACUUCGAUCGCAGGUACGCUUGAAGAUAAGCACCGUUGGACUGCAAUGAUCUAGAACUGCGAAUCAAUAAUCUGAAAGAGACUUUUGAUUGAUCCUGGUGAAGAUCAAUGUCAUCAGGUCAAUGUUCUCCUAUUUGUCUCCAAUUCUGUUAGGAGAGGGAUUGCUAGGGUUGAGGUGGAGGUGGAAAUGGAAGCCCAGUCGCAGUCAAAGAAUUUUGAGAUCUAUAAGUUGUUCAAUAGACCGUGUUACUGUCAAGUUGUUAAUCAUGAGAUGUCGCAAAGGAAUCAAGAAAAUGUUGGCAAAGGGGUUGGGAUAAGCUUGGUGUCAACCGGUAUCGAACCAGUACUGGUAUCGAAAAUACCGGUACGGUCCUGUUCGGUAUCAGUACGUGAAGGUAAAACCCGUGACUAAUACAGAAAACGUCAAAAGUUGGUGCCGAAUUGACAUUGGAAAUCUUUUGGUUCGGAAAUUCAGUGCUUCUAUCCGGUACCAUUUGCUCAUCCCUGAUCACGGUUACCGUAUGAACAACAGCUCGGUACCAACCGAUACAGAAUUGGUACUGAUACCAAAAAUACCGGUUACAGUACCCAUAUAUAAAGGUAAAAAACGGUAGAGAACCGGUACUAGGUACGCCAAUAGUCUCUCGGCUUCCUAUGCAAUAUAGGAACCUUUAAGCCGCCAUUAAGGUAUGGCUUGCUUUGAGUUAUUAACAUUGGAGCACAAGUUGUAUUUCUGGACUGGACACAUUCAUGGCAAUGAUAGAACCAAGCAUUAGGAUUAAGUUCCUCCUCGCAAACUUCACAGAAUAGUCACCCUCAUGGUUUUCAAUUGGGGAGUAAGCAUUGUUUUCUCUGCUGCAUGUCAUCAUCUGGAGGGGAAAUGGGUGGGUCGGUCAGUUGCUAACAUGUCAAAACGAGUACUUUUAAAUUUAUACGAAUCAAAACUGGUUGGGUUGACACAGAAAUCUCUUAGAAAUUUCCCUAUCGUUGAUUUCAAGGAAGGUAACUUUAUUUCCAAAUUUUCUAUGGGAGGAGCCAAAGAAGCAAACAUAAGUUUAUUUUUGUAUGUUUAAGUUAUCGAAUGUUAGGUUUUCUAAGUUAGGAUGUGUUACCUUUCUCCCCAGAUUGCUUCUUUGCAAUUUGCUUAUUAUUGUAAUAAGAAUUUAGCAUGCCAAAUACGAUUAAAAAAGCUAUGCAAUUCAAUAACAAUAUGAUUUUGGAGUUUUAAUUAAUGCACAAAAAAGUAUAUUUUGGAAGACUUCCAACCUAUCCAACCCAUAUAACAUGUUUCUUUUUUUUUUAUCAUUAUUUUAGUUUCACGUGCUUGACCUGCUAGAGAUAAAGCAUAAUCCAAAUCUACCCAUCAAAGUCAUUGAGUUUACAUUGUCACCUCUAUCAAAUGUUCUUAACAACCAAUUACCAUUUUAUUGUUAGUUUUGGGCCGUCUAGUAGAAGAUUUCAGCGGGGCAGCUACAUGUGGGCCAGAGAUAACAUCGAUAAAAAUCACAAGGUUCAACUGUAUAUGUAAAGCUAAAGUCAAUAUAAUAUAUGUAAAGUUCUAAAAAUAUGGUCAGGGCAAUGUUACAUUAGUUUGUUGGGUGUUAUUCGUGUAUGCAGUGGCGAAGCUUGAGAUGUCCGAUCGGGGGGCGAAAGUCACAGGACCUAAAAAUUUUUAUAAAACCGGAGGGUUGAAAAUAUAAAUACCAAAAAAUUUCUAUAUGUACAUACUCUGUCGGCCGCCCCGUCCCGCCCUUUAGAAGCUUUGUCCACGCAUAUUGUGUAUAUGGUUUUGGUUGUGUAUCGGUUUGAAAGGGGGUCUGGGCCAUGAUUAAUGAUUGAAGAAAUAAGGUAUUAUGU
Long non-coding RNA from Helianthus annuus (common sunflower), 2178 nucleotides. RefSeq lists it as uncharacterized. Lineage: Eukaryota; Viridiplantae; Streptophyta; Magnoliopsida; Asterales; Asteraceae. The transcript is spliced from 3 exons. The record is from RefSeq and is a predicted model, not a curated record.